Molecule: ribosomal RNA, 449 nt
Filed under: uncultured bacterium
Lineage: Bacteria
Description: bacterial SSU rRNA
Rfam family: Bacterial small subunit ribosomal RNA
Source: RNAcentral
GUCCAGACUCCUACGGGAGGCAGCAGUGGGGAAUAUUGCACAAUGGGGGAAACCCUGAUGCAGCGACGCCGCGUGAGUGAAGAAGUAUUUCGGUAUGUAAAGCUCUAUCAGCAGGGAAGAAAAAAGACGGUACCUGACUAAGAAGCCCCGGCUAACUACGUGCCAGCAGCCGCGGUAAUACGUAGGGGGCAAGCGUUAUCCGGAAUUACUGGGUGUAAAGGGUGCGUAGGUGGCAUGGUAAGUCAGAAGUGAAAGCCCGGGGCUUAACCCCGGGACUGCUUUUGAAACUGUCAUGCUGGAGUGCAGGAGAGGUAAGCGGAAUUCCUAGUAUAGCGGUGAAAUGCGUAGAUAUUAGGAGGAACACCAGUGGCGAAGGCGGCUUACUGGACUGUCACUGACACUGAUGCACGAAAGCGUGGGGAGCAAACAGGAUUAGAUACCCGAGUACA